This is an RNA transcript of Clupea harengus (Atlantic herring), 2388 nucleotides long. It is a transcript of the gene named G3BP stress granule assembly factor 2b, with no coding region annotated. The record is from RefSeq and is a predicted model, not a curated record. The transcript has 14 exons. Lineage: Eukaryota; Metazoa; Chordata; Actinopteri; Clupeiformes; Clupeidae.
CACACCCGGCUUAGCAUUGGGGUUCCCUGCUCGCUCAGCAGGGGGUGAGACGCCGAAGUGGUGUGUGAAGACCAGAGUAAUUCUGUGUCCCGAACCCCAUUUGUUCGCCGGAUUGGUGACAUAAAUAUAGGGUUAGUUAACCGAUUCCAUACAGGUCACCGCAACGCCACGCCAACGACACUUUUCAUCCUGUGCAGCUCUCUGCUCCCUAAGAGAUGGUUAUGGAGAAACCAAGCCCCCUGCUCGUAGGCCGCGAGUUUGUGAGGCAAUACUACACACUUCUGAACAAGGCUCCCGACUAUCUGCACAGGUUCUAUGGCAGGAGCUCUUCUUAUGUGCACGGAGGCCUGGACGGCAGCGGGAAACCAGAAGAGGCUGUCUAUGGGCAAGCUGAGAUCCAUAAGAAGGUGAUGUCGCUGCAGUUCAGUGAGUGUCACACCAAGAUCCGUCAUGUUGAUGCUCAUGCGACCCUCGGUGAUGGGGUCGUCGUCCAGGUGAUGGGGGAGCUGUCCAAUAACGGCCGUCCCAUGAGGAGGUUCAUGCAGACGUUUGUGCUGGCACCAGAGGGCUCUGCAGCGAAUAAGUUCUACGUGCACAAUGACAUCUUCCGCUAUGAGGAGGAGCUCUACAAUGACUCUGAGGCUGAGCUAGGUGAUUCAGAGGAGGAGGAGGGCGAGGAGGAGCAGCAGGAGGCGCAAACCUCACCUGAGCCACAGGAGGCCCCUGCCAGUGCAGCUUACUACGAACAUGCCCCUGUCAGUAAUGGUGUGGAAGAGCCACAGGAGGAGGCGGUCCUAGAGGUGGAGCCAGAGGUUCAGCCUGAGCCUGAGACCAAUCAGGAGCCUGCGGCUGAGCCUGUCCCAGAGGCGGAGCCACAGGCUGAAGAGGUGGGGCCAGAGGAGGAAGAGAAAGUUCCAGAAGAGCCAGAGGAGAAAGGCCCUUCCCCUGCACCUGCACAGUCUCCACCCCCCUCCACACCUGAACCACCCAAGACAUUCUCCUGGGCUUCCGUUACCAGUAAGAACUUGCCCCCCAGUGGUUCCCUCCCCGGGUCUGGCAUCCCUCCCCAUGUGGUCAAAGUCUCCAGCACACAGCCCAGGGCAGAGGUGAAGGCCGAUGCCCAGGUAUCUAUGCCUAGAGACCAGCGGGCACGGGAGAGGCAAGGCUUCAAUCCGAGAGGUAACCGCCCAGAUGGUGCAUCUUCAGAAUCCGGUGGAAAACCCUACUUCAGUUUUAAAGGGCGUGGGGACGGUGAGCCGGGUGACCAGGAGAUGCGCAGGACGGUGCGGUACCCUGACUCCCACCAGCUGUUUGUGGGCAACCUGCCACACGACAUCGACGAGGGGGAGCUCAAGGACUUCUUCAUGACUUUCGGGAAUGUGGUUGAGAUGCGCAUCAACACCAAGGGCGUCGGCGGGAAACUUCCCAACUUCGGCUUUGUCGUGUUUGAUGACUCUGAGCCUGUGCAAAGGAUCCUGGCAGCCAAGCCUGUGAUGUUUAGAGGGGAGGUGCGUCUGAAUGUGGAGGAGAAGAAGACUCGUGCUCUGCGGGAGAGGGAGACCCGAGGAGGUGGAGCCGGAGGAGACAUGCGCCGUGGUGGAGGAGCCCGAGGGCCAAUGGGCAAUGGCAUGGGGCGGGGACCUCCUCCUUCCCGCGGAGGGAUUGGCUCUGGCAGGGGAGGCGGCCAGGGCGGAGAGAGAUUCGCCGGGCAGAGGCGCUGAAAGGCGAAGCCAGCUUGGCCAAUGGUGUUGACGUAUGUUGUGACGGAAGGGGAAAACGCGACAAAAUAUCCCUACAUUCACAGCGCUCUUUCUCUCUUACCCUCUCUUUUUCUUUUUCUUUUUCUUUUCUUUAUUUCAUUUCUAUCUCUCUCUGGAAUGUCCCUGGACUGCCUAACUGCUGGAGCAGAACAAGAGAUCCUGAAGGAAAGCUUUUUUCAUUUUGUUUUUGUUCAUUUUUUUAUUAUUAUUUCUGAGGAACAAAAAGAACUGGUGAUGUCACUCGGAGGUGGGAGGGGCUUCUGGAUUGGUCAACCGGGAAAGCUCGCACGCAACGGACGCAAAUCAAAGCUCACACUCGAUUAAUUUAUUUUGGUAGUUAAUAAUAACGCGAGAUGGUGCCUUAUAACUGUUUUCUCUCUCUCUCCCCCCCCAUCCUCUCUCUUUCUCUCUGUCUGUGUGCUGUGAGAUGGGUGACACCGCAGCAGUGUGAAUGGUUCAAAUGAUCAAUGCUGGUAUUCUUGUAUGCAUGCACGUGUGAUUGUGUGUGUUUGUCGUCGGGUCUUUCUUGUGAGUAGGUUGAGCUUUUUGUGGUGAACGGAAGGCGGUGUGUGUGUGUGUGUGUGUGUGUGUGUGUGUGUGUGUGUGUGUGUGUGUGUGUGUGUGUGUG